This 250-nucleotide ribosomal RNA is filed under the name uncultured bacterium. Its description in RNAcentral is "partial 16S ribosomal RNA". It matches the Rfam family "Bacterial small subunit ribosomal RNA", at positions 779 to 1027 of the family's 1533-position model. The record is from RNAcentral.
UAGAUACCCUGGUAGUCCACGCCGUAAACGAUGGAUGCUAGCCGUCGGAUAGCUUGCUAUUCGGUGGCGCAGCUAACGCAUUAAGCAUCCCGCCUGGGGAGUACGGCCGCAAGGUUAAAACUCAAAGGAAUUGACGGGGGCCCGCACAAGCGGUGGAGCAUGUGGUUUAAUUCGACGCAACGCGAAGAACCUUACCAGCUCUUGACAUUCACUGAUUGCCUGGAGAGAUCCGGGAGUUCCAGCAAUGGAC